Long non-coding RNA from Homarus americanus (American lobster), 334 nucleotides. RefSeq lists it as uncharacterized. The transcript is spliced from 3 exons. NCBI's taxonomy places the organism in Eukaryota, Metazoa, Arthropoda, Malacostraca, Decapoda, Nephropidae. The record is from RefSeq and is a predicted model, not a curated record.
AUUAUGUCAAUGACGGAAGCUGGGCUAUUCUUCCAUUGGCUUAAAACUGAUGAGCCAAACUCCACUGUUUGUUAUCGAGCUCCUACCAAGAUCACAGUCAAGACUUCUCUCUCUCUCAGCAAUAUAUGGGGAAUGUUCGUGAUCCUCGCUGCUGGCCACUUUGUCAGUCUAUCUGUAUUGUGUCUUGAGCUUCUGAACAUUCGUCUUCAAUAACUUGGGAACCAUACGUUAUCCACUUUUUGUUUGUGUUUACUGAACAGAGAACCAUUUUCGUGUCGUUGGGGUGGAAGUACGUGGAUGACUGCACUGUGGGGGUUACAGUGGACAACACCUC